Molecule: long non-coding RNA, 351 nt
Organism: Polypterus senegalus (gray bichir)
Lineage: Eukaryota; Metazoa; Chordata; Cladistia; Polypteriformes; Polypteridae
Exons: 3
Source: RefSeq, a predicted model, not a curated record
GCAGGAGCUCCAAAACCUACUAAAAGGGAUCGAUCUGCCCCUAAGACAGAAGCCAAAGCAAUGGAGACUUUUACAAAAGGUUUCCCUUAUCAAGGCUGCUGGAACUUGGAGCACACCUGAUAAGGACAGUACAUCAAAACAACAGAUGACGCAUCAGCUUGAAACAACUUCCGAUCCCCAGAAGACAACAUAAUGUCACUUCCUGUUCUGGCCCCAAAAACCCAAGACGUCAUUUCCAGUCCCAGGAUGCCACUCUACUAUUAUGUCACUUCCUUUUUCUGAUCAUAUAUGACAGCCAUUUUGUUUGUUUACUCAGUUUUGUUUUGGAUUCAUGUCUAUAAAGACCUAUUA